RNAcentral lists this ribosomal RNA (460 nucleotides) under uncultured bacterium. Its description in RNAcentral is "partial 16S ribosomal RNA". It matches the Rfam family "Bacterial small subunit ribosomal RNA", at positions 338 to 795 of the family's 1533-position model. The record is from RNAcentral.
CCUACGGGUGGCAGCAGUGAGGAAUAUUGGGCAAUGGAGGGAACUCUGAACCAGCCAAGCAGCGUGCAGGAAGACGGCUCUAUGAGUUGUAAACUGCUUUUGUACGGGGGUAAACCGAAAUAAGUGUAGUCAGCUGAAAGUACUGUAUGAAUAAGGACCGGCUAAUUCCGUGCCAGCAGCCGCGGUAAUACGGAGGGUCCAGGCGUUAUCCGGAUUUAUUGGGUUUAAAGGGUGCGGAGGCGGCUUCUUAAGUUAGAUGUGAAAUGCCGGGGCUGAACCGGGGAACUGCCGCGAAUACUGUGGGUCUAGAGUGCAGGUGAGGUAGGCGGAAUGUAUGGUGUAGCGGUGAAAUGCUUAGAUAUCAUGAAGAACACCGAUUGCGAAGGCAGCUUACCGUACUGUUACUGACGUUGAGGCUCGAAAGCGUGGGGAGCGAACAGGAUUAGAUACCCUUGUAGUC